AAUCGGUGAAUUAGUGAAACACAAACAGCACACAGUGAGCUGCCUGCAACAACAGCGGCGCUCGGGGAGCAGUGAGGGGUUAGCUGCCUUGCUCAAGGGCACUUCAGCCGUGCCUACUGGUCGGGGUUCGAACCAGCAACCCUCCGGUUACAAGUCGGAAGCGCUAACCAGUAGGCCACGACUGCCCCAUGUGCUCUUCGGACUCCAUG
Long non-coding RNA from Alosa sapidissima (American shad), 209 nucleotides. RefSeq lists it as uncharacterized. Lineage: Eukaryota; Metazoa; Chordata; Actinopteri; Clupeiformes; Clupeidae. The record is from RefSeq and is a predicted model, not a curated record. The transcript is spliced from 3 exons.